RNAcentral lists this ribosomal RNA (866 nucleotides) under human gut metagenome. RNAcentral's name for it is "bacterial SSU rRNA". It matches the Rfam family "Bacterial small subunit ribosomal RNA", at positions 11 to 878 of the family's 1533-position model. The record is from RNAcentral.
GUUUGAUCCUGGCUCAGGAUGAACGCUGGCGGCGUGCCUAAUACAUGCAAGUCGAACGCUUCACUUCGGUGAAGAGUGGCGAACGGGUGAGUAAUACAUAAGUAACCUGGCAUCUACAGGGGGAUAACUGAUGGAAACGUCAGCUAAGACCGCAUAGGUGUAGAGAUCGCAUGAACUCUAUAUGAAAAGUGCUACGGGACUGGUAGAUGAUGGACUUAUGGCGCAUUAGCUUGUUGGUAGGGUAACGGCCUACCAAGGCGACGAUGCGUAGCCGACCUGAGAGGGUGACCGGCCACACUGGGACUGAGACACGGCCCAGACUCCUACGGGAGGCAGCAGUAGGGAAUUUUCGGCAAUGGGGGAAACCCUGACCGAGCAACGCCGCGUGAAGGAAGAAGUAAUUCGUUAUGUAAACUUCUGUCAUAGAGGAAGAACGGUGGAUAUAGGGAAUGAUAUCCAAGUGACGGUACUCUAUAAGAAAGCCACGGCUAACUACGUGCCAGCAGCCGCGGUAAUACGUAGGUGGCGAGCGUUAUCCGGAAUUAUUGGGCGUAAAGAGGGAGCAGGCGGCACUAAGGGUCUGUGGUGAAAGAUCGAAGCUUAACUUCGGUAAGCCAUGGAAACCGUAGAGCUAGAGUGUGUGAGAGGAUCGUGGAAUUCCAUGUGUAGCGGUGAAAUGCGUAGAUAUAUGGAGGAACACCAGUGGCGAAGGCGACGAUCUGGCGCAUAACUGACGCUCAGUCCCGAAAGCGUGGGGAGCAAAUAGGAUUAGAUACCCUAGUAGUCCACGCCGUAAACGAUGAGUACUAAGUGUUGGGUGUCAAAGCUCAGUGCUGCAGUUAACGCAAUAAGUACUCCGCCUGAGU